Molecule: non-coding RNA, 604 nt
Organism: Lactuca sativa (garden lettuce)
Lineage: Eukaryota; Viridiplantae; Streptophyta; Magnoliopsida; Asterales; Asteraceae
Source: RefSeq, a predicted model, not a curated record
CAAGCUAAAUAACUAAAUUCUCCUCGCUUUAAAUUCAAAACUAUUUCAUCCAUAAAUCUCGCCUUUUGCUCCAUCUUUCCUAUCUCAAACCCCUUCCCUCUUCCCGGUACACGACCACCGCUAUCUUGGUCUUUAGAAGAUAUGAAUUCCCUAUUUGUUUACGAUAACUACCCACAUGUGAACCCUUUAUAACCUCUCCUUUUAGUAUUUGAACUCAGAUCUUGUGAUUUCUAAUAUUUCAUGACGAUUUCAACAGCAACAUGAGAUGUGCAUUAGGCGAUAAAGUCACCGAAGCAAUCAUGUUCCCGUCUAAGAUACCUUAUAUGUGAGUGUGAUCGGCUGACCUCCGGCUACAAAGGGAAACAUUGGCGUCUUGCUUCUGGGAAGUUUGAUAGGGUAGGGCAUGUGAAUGUAUGUGUGUGUUGGAAAGGAGAGAGAGAGGAGAGAGAGUUCAGAGAAAAUCAAGGGAUUUUAAUUUAUCUCAGGCUCACGUUGAGUAAACAUUCUGUUUUCCUUUAAGCAUGCGUAAAAAAGUACUAAAUUUUUUAUUACUUCAAAUCUUGACCCUCCUUUAUUUUGAUAUAAUGGAAUUAAAAUUGACUUC